GACGAACGCUGGCGGCAGGCCUAACACAUGCAAGUCGAGCGGACCUUUCGGGGUCAGCGGCGGACGGGUGAGUAACGCGUGGGAAUAUGCCCUUCUCUACGGAAUAGUCCUGGGAAACUGGGGGUAAUACCGUAUACGCCCUUUGGGGGAAAGAUUUAUCGGGGAAGGAUUAGCCCGCGUUGGAUUAGGUAGUUGGUGGGGUAAUGGCCUACCAAGCCGACGAUCCAUAGCUGGUUUGAGAGGAUGAUCAGCCACACUGGGACUGAGACACGGCCCAGACUCCUACGGGAGGCAGCAGUGGGGAAUCUUAGACAAUGGGGGCAACCCUGAUCUAGCCAUGCCGCGUGAGUGAUGAAGGCCUUAGGGUUGUAAAGCUCUUUCAGCUGGGAAGAUAAUGACGGUACCAGCAGAAGAAGCCCCGGCUAACUCCGCG
RNAcentral lists this ribosomal RNA (433 nucleotides) under uncultured bacterium. RNAcentral describes it as "partial 16S ribosomal RNA". It matches the Rfam family "Bacterial small subunit ribosomal RNA", at positions 28 to 507 of the family's 1533-position model. The record is from RNAcentral.